RNAcentral lists this ribosomal RNA (253 nucleotides) under uncultured bacterium. Its description in RNAcentral is "partial 16S ribosomal RNA". It matches the Rfam family "Bacterial small subunit ribosomal RNA", at positions 524 to 776 of the family's 1533-position model. The record is from RNAcentral.
CACGUAGGGCGCAAGCGUUGUCCGGAAUUACUGGGCGUAAAGCGUGCGCAGGCGGUUCUGAAAGUCAGCUGUGAAAGCCCCGGGCUUAACCUGGGAACUGCGGUUGAAACUACAGGACUAGAAUCUGGCAGAGGGGGGUGGAAUUCCACGUGUAGCAGUGAAAUGCGUAGAGAUGUGGAGGAACACCGAUGGCGAAGGCAGCCCCCUGGGUCAAGAUUGACGCUCAUGCACGAAAGCGUGGGGAGCAAACAGG